This 850-nucleotide ribosomal RNA is filed under the name Vreelandella venusta. Its description in RNAcentral is "bacterial SSU rRNA". It matches the Rfam family "Bacterial small subunit ribosomal RNA", at positions 28 to 875 of the family's 1533-position model. The record is from RNAcentral. Lineage: Bacteria; Pseudomonadati; Pseudomonadota; Gammaproteobacteria; Oceanospirillales; Halomonadaceae.
AUUGAACGCUGGCGGCAGGCCUAACACAUGCAAGUCGAGCGGUAACAGGGGUAGCUUGCUACCCGCUGACGAGCGGCGGACGGGUGAGUAAUGCAUAGGAAUCUGCCCGGUAGUGGGGGAUAACCUGGGGAAACCCAGGCUAAUACCGCAUACGUCCUACGGGAGAAAGGGGGCUUCGGCUCCCGCUAUUGGAUGAGCCUAUGUCGGAUUAGCUAGUUGGUGAGGUAAAGGCUCACCAAGGCAACGAUCCGUAGCUGGUCUGAGAGGAUGAUCAGCCACAUCGGGACUGAGACACGGCCCGAACUCCUACGGGAGGCAGCAGUGGGGAAUAUUGGACAAUGGGCGAAAGCCUGAUCCAGCCAUGCCGCGUGUGUGAAGAAGGCCCUCGGGUUGUAAAGCACUUUCAGCGAGGAAGAACGCCUAGUGGUUAAUACCCAUUAGGAAAGACAUCACUCGCAGAAGAAGCACCGGCUAACUCCGUGCCAGCAGCCGCGGUAAUACGGAGGGUGCAAGCGUUAAUCGGAAUUACUGGGCGUAAAGCGCGCGUAGGUGGCUUGAUAAGCCGGUUGUGAAAGCCCCGGGCUCAACCUGGGAACGGCAUCCGGAACUGUCAAGCUAGAGUGCAGGAGAGGAAGGUAGAAUUCCCGGUGUAGCGGUGAAAUGCGUAGAGAUCGGGAGGAAUACCAGUGGCGAAGGCGGCCUUCUGGACUGACACUGACACUGAGGUGCGAAAGCGUGGGUAGCAAACAGGAUUAGAUACCCUGGUAGUCCACGCCGUAAACGAUGUCGACCAGCCGUUGGGUGCCUAGCGCACUUUGUGGCGAAGUUAACGCGAUAAGUCGACCGCCUU